UACAGUCAAAUCAUACUGAAAACACUGGUUCUCUUUCAAUCAACAAAGUUAAGUAUCAUCAAGCCCAGUUAGUACUUAGAUGGGAGACCACUUGGGAACACCAGGUACUGUAAG
Non-coding RNA from Acanthosepion pharaonis, 114 nucleotides. The record is from the annotation of a GenBank genome assembly. Lineage: Eukaryota; Metazoa; Mollusca; Cephalopoda; Sepiida; Sepiidae.